Molecule: ribosomal RNA, 740 nt
Filed under: Meloidogyne incognita (southern root-knot nematode)
Lineage: Eukaryota; Metazoa; Nematoda; Chromadorea; Rhabditida; Meloidogynidae
Description: partial 28S ribosomal RNA
Rfam family: Eukaryotic large subunit ribosomal RNA
Source: RNAcentral
CUAAGACUUAAUAUUGCCACGAGACCGAUAGCAAACAAGUACUGUGAAGGAAAGUUGCAAAGCACUUUGAAGAGAGAGUUAAAGAGGACGUGAAACCGGUAAGGUGGAAACGGAUAGAGUCGGCGUAUCAUUCAAUUAUUCAGUUACAUUAUUUUUAUGUUGUGACCUCUGAGCUCCAGAUUGGGACAGAGGGAAUCAGCAUAAUUUUUUGUGGUGCAUUUACUUGAUUGGUGCUUGGGGAUGUUUGAGGCAGAUUUGUUUCCGUCGUUUUGAGGCCAGCUUGCUGGUACCCAAACGGUGUUAGCAUUUUUUGUCUUGGGCAUUUGAGUAUGGCUCACGUGUAUUUAUUGGACAGAUCUGAGUGUAAGUUACGGUCGCAUGCGACACGUGCUUUUCAAUUAGUUCGGUCCAGUUAAUGCUCUCGUACUCGUUCCCCAUGUAAAAGCCGGUCAUCUAUCCGACCCGUCUUGAAACACGGACCAAGGAGUUUAUCGUGUGCGCAAGUUUUUGGGUGUUAAAAACUUAAAAGCGAAAUGAAAGUAAAUGACUCUUUAGAGUCUGAUGUGCGAUCUUGUAAAAAAGUGUAGCAUGGCCCCAUUCUAACUGUUUACAGUAGGGUGGCGGAAGAGCGUACGCGGUGAGACCCGAAAGAUGGUGAACUAUUCCUGAGCAGGACGAAGCCAGAGGAAACUCUGGUGGAAGUCCGAAGCGGUUCUGACGUGCAAAUCGAUCGUCUGACU